RNAcentral lists this unclassified non-coding RNA (342 nucleotides) under soil metagenome. RNAcentral describes it as "partial contains 5.8S ribosomal RNA, internal transcribed spacer 2, and large subunit ribosomal RNA". The stretch from base 1 to 120 matches the Rfam family "5.8S ribosomal RNA", at positions 35 to 154 of the family's 154-position model. The record is from RNAcentral.
GAUGAAGAACGCAGUGAAAUGCGAUAAGUAAUGUGAAUUGCAGAAUUCAGUGAAUCAUCGAAUCUUUGAACGCACAUUGCGCCCGCCAGCACUCUGGCGGGCAUGCCUGUUCGAGCGUCAUUUCAACCAUCAAGCCCCCAGGGGCUUGUGCUGGGGCCCUGCGGCUGCCCGCAGGCCCUGAAAACCAGUGGCGGGCUCGCUAGUCACACCGAGCGCCGUAGCACAUCUCGCUCAGGGCGUGCGGCGGGCUCCUGCCGUGAAACCCCCCACUGUAACCCCAAAGGUUGACCUCGGAUCAGGUAGGAAUACCCGCUGAACUUAAGCAUAUCAAUAAGCGGAGGA